Molecule: long non-coding RNA, 393 nt
Organism: Talpa occidentalis (Iberian mole)
Lineage: Eukaryota; Metazoa; Chordata; Mammalia; Eulipotyphla; Talpidae
Exons: 3
Source: RefSeq, a predicted model, not a curated record
UUAAGAGCAGAGCAGCGUCACUCGCGAAGGCUGAGGGAGGACGGCUACAAGAGGGUGAGCAGCAUGACUACAGAGGAGACAUGUCAAAGCAUAACACUUCUCUGCCCUUCUGAAAUGAAACAUGCUGAAUACCUUGAUUCUGGGGGAAAUAAGACCAAACUGCAUCCUGCAGGAGGUUUUCAUCACUGCUUUCUUGGUGCUACAUGAGCACAGAGUUUAACCAAAACCAGAACCUCUCUAAAUGUUGUUGAAGAAUAGAUGAAUGAGUGAAGAAAUUAUAUGCCAGCUCAAACAACAGGAUGAAAUAUAUUGAUUACAGCCUGUUUUCUUCCUUUCAUUCAUUUAGUCACAAAAUAAAUACUCAGGCUCUGAUCUAAGUGUUGAAAGUAAAGC